GAUUAUAAUCAACAAACCGUAGAGAUAUUUUAUAGCAUAUAAAUACUACAAAAUUACAAAAUAUUUAGACAAUGAUUCAUAAACUUAUCAUAAAUAAGAUCAGCAUUAAUAAAAAAUUGAGUUUUUUUAACGGGACGGGUUGGUGGGACGGGUUCGGCAGGACGUUACUUAAUAACAAUUGUAAACUAUAAAAUAAAAUUAUUUUAUAGAUAGAUUCAAUUUGCAAACUUUUAUAUAUACUAACUUUAAAAAAGAAAUUGUUCAUACAGUGUAUUGGGGGUUAAAAUCUAGUUGACUUAUAUUAAAAUAAUUAGCUUAUCUUUUGUUUAAUUUAUUAUUUUUCGACUUAAUUGUUGAUUUUUGAAGUAUGAUUUUCU
RNAcentral lists this small RNA (377 nucleotides) under Arabidopsis thaliana (thale cress). RNAcentral's name for it is "ATSL092710". Lineage: Eukaryota; Viridiplantae; Streptophyta; Magnoliopsida; Brassicales; Brassicaceae. The record is from RNAcentral.